GCCGAGAUGGUGGAACUGGUAGACACGCUGCGCUUAGAACGCAGUGCCCUAUGGUGUGCAGGUUCGAGUCCUGUUCUCGGUA
This 82-nucleotide transfer RNA is filed under the name Patescibacteria group bacterium. Its description in RNAcentral is "tRNA-Leu". It matches the Rfam family "tRNA". From Rfam's summary of the family: Transfer RNA (tRNA) molecules are approximately 80 nucleotides in length. Their secondary structure includes four short double-helical elements and three loops (D, anti-codon, and T loops). The record is from RNAcentral.